CGGCGCGACCGGCCCGGGG
RNAcentral lists this microRNA (19 nucleotides) under Homo sapiens (human). Its description in RNAcentral is "hsa-miR-4634". Lineage: Eukaryota; Metazoa; Chordata; Mammalia; Primates; Hominidae. The record is from miRBase by way of RNAcentral.